AUUGAACGCUGGCGGAAUGCUUUACACAUGCAAGUCGAACGGCAGCACGGACUUCGGUCUGGUGGCGAGUGGCGAACGGGUGAGUAAUGUAUCGGAACGUGCCCAGUCGUGGGGGAUAACGUAGUGAAAAUUACGCUAAUACCGCAUACGAUCUAUGGAUGAAAGCGGGGGACCGCAAGACCUCGCGCGAUUGGAGCGGCCGAUAUCAGAUUAGGUAGUUGGUGGGGUAAAGGCCCACCAAGCCAAAGAUCUGUAGCUGGUCUGAGAGGACGACCAGCCACACUGGAGAUGAGACACGGUCCAGACUCCUACGGGAGGCAGCAGUGGGGAAUUUUGAACAAUGGGCGAAAGCCUGAUCCAGCCAUUCCGCGUGCAGGAUGAAGGCCCUCGGGUUGUAAACUGCUUUUGUACAGAACGAAAAGGUUUCUACUAAUACUAGGAGCUCAUGACGGUACUGUAAGAAUAAGCACCGGCUAACUACGUGCCAGCCGCCGCCGUAA
Molecule: ribosomal RNA, 500 nt
Filed under: uncultured bacterium
Lineage: Bacteria
Description: partial 16S ribosomal RNA
Rfam family: Bacterial small subunit ribosomal RNA
Source: RNAcentral